CAGCCGCCACGGGAAUACGAAGGGUGCAGGCGUUAAUCGGAAUUACUGGGCGUAAAGCGUGCGUAGGUGGUGGUUUAAGUCCGUUGUGAAAUCCCCGGGCUCAACCUGGGAAUGGCAAUGGAUACUGGCAAGCUAGAGUGUGUCAGAGGAUGGUGGAAUUCCCGGUGUAGCGGUGAAAUGCGUAGAGAUCGGGAGGAACAUCAGUGGCGAAGGCGGCCAUCUGGGACAACACUGACGCUGAGGCACGAAAGCGUGGGGAGCAAACAGGAUUAGAUACCCCAGUAGUCCCUGUCUCUUAUAA
RNAcentral lists this ribosomal RNA (301 nucleotides) under uncultured bacterium. RNAcentral describes it as "partial 16S ribosomal RNA". It matches the Rfam family "Bacterial small subunit ribosomal RNA", at positions 509 to 809 of the family's 1533-position model. The record is from RNAcentral.